Etheostoma cragini (Arkansas darter) is the source of this 126-nucleotide long non-coding RNA. RefSeq lists it as uncharacterized. The record is from RefSeq and is a predicted model, not a curated record. The transcript is spliced from 3 exons. Lineage: Eukaryota; Metazoa; Chordata; Actinopteri; Perciformes; Percidae.
GAAAUGCCAUCAAAAGUAUCUCCAUUCCCUGUACAGCCUGGAACACUGCAUUUACGACCCUGGUUCAUUGUCAAUAUCCUGGAAAAUAUUCCAAACUUUCUUCUUUGUAAAUCCCCUGCGAGUGGU